UACGGGAGGCAGCAGUGGGGAAUAUUGCACAAUGGGCGCAAGCCUGAUGCAGCCAUGCCGCGUGUUGAAGAAGGCCUUCGGGUUGUAAAGCACUUUCAGUCAGGAGGAAAGGUUAGUAGUUAAUACCUGCUAGCUGUGACGUUACUGACAGAAGAAGCACCGGCUAACUCCGUGCCAGCAGCCGCGGUAAUACGGAGGGUGCGAGCGUUAAUCGGAAUUACUGGGCGUAAAGCGUACGCAGGCGGUUUGUUAAGCGAGAUGUGAAAGCCCCGGGCUCAACCUGGGAACUGCAUUUCGAACUGGCAAACUAGAGUGUGAUAGAGGGUGGUAGAAUUUCAGGUGUAGCGGUGAAAUGCGUAGAGAUCUGAAGGAAUACCGAUGGCGAAGGCAGCCACCUGGGUCAACACUGACGCUCAUGUACGAAAGCGUGGGGAGCAAACGGGAUUAGAUACCCCGGUAGUCCACGCCGUAAACGAUGUCUACUAGAAGCUCGGAGCCUCGGUUCUGUUUUUCAAAGCUAACGCAUUAAGUAGACCGCCUGGGGAGUACGGCCGCAAGGUUAAAACUCAAAUGAAUUGACGGGGGCCCGCACAAGCGGUGGAGCAUGUGGUUUAAUUCGAUGCAACGCGAAGAACCUUACCUACACUUGACAUACAGAGAACUUACCAGAGAUGGUUUGGUGCCUUCGGGAACUCUGAUACAGGUGCUGCAUGGCUGUCGUCAGCUCGUGUUGUGAGAUGUUGGGUUAAGUCCCGCAACGAGCGCAACCCCUAUCCUUAGUUGCUAGCAGGUAAUGCUGAGAACUCUAAGGAGACUGCCGGUGAUAAACCGGAGGAAGGUGGGGACGACGUCAAGUCAUCAUGGCCCUUACGUGUAGGGCUACACACGUGCUACAAUGGCGCAUACAGAGUGCUGCGAACCUGCGAAGGUAAGCGAAUCACUUAAAGUGCGUCGUAGUCCGGAUUGGAGUCUGCAACUCGACUCCAUGAAGUCGGAAUCGCUAGUAAUCGCGUAUCAGAAUGACGCGGUGAAUACGUUCCCGGGCCUUGUACACACCGCCCGUCACACCAUGGGAGUGGGUUGCUCCAGAAGUAGAUAGUCUAACCCUCGGGAGGAC
RNAcentral lists this ribosomal RNA (1117 nucleotides) under Pseudoalteromonas sp. Its description in RNAcentral is "bacterial SSU rRNA". It matches the Rfam family "Bacterial small subunit ribosomal RNA", at positions 340 to 1451 of the family's 1533-position model. The record is from RNAcentral. Lineage: Bacteria; Pseudomonadati; Pseudomonadota; Gammaproteobacteria; Alteromonadales; Pseudoalteromonadaceae.